This 507-nucleotide ribosomal RNA is filed under the name uncultured bacterium. RNAcentral's name for it is "partial 16S ribosomal RNA". It matches the Rfam family "Bacterial small subunit ribosomal RNA", at positions 28 to 507 of the family's 1533-position model. The record is from RNAcentral.
GACGAACGCUGGCGGCGUGCUUAACACAUGCAAGUCGAACGGGCCUUGUCCCCUUUUUUUUGGGUGUGGGGUUAGUGGCGAACGGGUGAGUAACACGUGAGUAACCUGCCCCUCACUUCUGGAUAACCGCUUGAAAGGGUGGCUAAUACGGGGUGUUCUGGCCUGCUCGCAUGGGUGGGUUUGGAAAGAUUCGACCGGUUUUGGUUGUUUUGGUGGGGGAUGGGCUCGCGGCCUAUCAGCUUGUUGGUGGGGUGAUGGCCUGCCAAGGCUUUGACGGGUAGCCGGCCUGAGAGGGUGGGCGGUCACACUGGGACUGAGACACGGCCCAGACUCCUACGGGAGGCAGCAGUGGGGAAUAUUGCACAAUGGGCGCAAGCCUGAUGCAGCGACGCCGCGUGAGGGAUGGAGGCCUUCGGGUUGUGAACCUCUUUCGCCAGUGAAGAAGGUCCUGCUCUUUGUGGUGGGGUUGACGGUAGCUGGGUUAAUGAAGCGCCGGCUAACUACGUG